This is a long non-coding RNA of Thamnophis elegans (Western terrestrial garter snake), 451 nucleotides long. RefSeq lists it as uncharacterized. The transcript has 3 exons. Lineage: Eukaryota; Metazoa; Chordata; Lepidosauria; Squamata; Natricidae. The record is from RefSeq and is a predicted model, not a curated record.
UCCUGCUGACCAGAGGUCAUCAAAGGAGUAGAAGUCGCUUUGAGAUCAAGCCAUCCUGAACUCCAGUCAAUGAUUUGUUGACCUUAACUCAGACCAUGGCUAGCAAGAGAACCUUUCUCCAAAAGAAGUAGCCUUCAAUAGGAACCUAUCGGCAGAAACUGCAGUCACUUCAGGACCAGUACUCCAAGUUAAGAAGCAGCAUUGGAUUUGGUUGGCCUUCAACGAUUAAACCACUUGCCUGACUUUCUACUGUACUUCUUCCUGCUAAUCAGAUGCCAAGACCAAUCAACACUUCAGCUACAGGAUUUCCACCAGUUGAACAGCCAUACAACUGAUUGAAUUCAUACUAGACUCAUACUUUAUUAGAAAUAAUUCAGAGAUGUGCACACUAUCUUUUUUGAUACUGUUUUCUUAAACUCUUUACACGAUCAACUGCCCUGGACAUCUGGAG